GUCUCAAAGAUUAAGCCAUGCAUGUCUAAGUAUAAGCAAUCUAUACUGUGAAACUGCGAAUGGCUCAUUAAAUCAGUUAUCGUUUAUUUGAUAGUACCUUACUACAUGGAUACCUGUGGUAAUUCUAGAGCUAAUACAUGCUAAAAACCCCGACUUCGGGAGGGGUGUAUUUAUUAGAUAAAAAACCAAUGCCCCUCGGGGCUCCUUGGUGAAUCAUAAUAACUUAACGAAUCGCAUGGCCUUGCGCCGGCGAUGGUUCAUUCAAAUUUCUGCCCUAUCAACUUUCGAUGGUAGGAUAGUGGCCUACCAUGGUGGCAACGGGUAACGGGGAAUUAGGGUUCGAUUCCGGAGAGGGAGCCUGAGAAACGGCUACCACAUCCAAGGAAGGCAGCAGGCGCGCAAAUUACCCAAUCCCAACACGGGGAGGUAGUGACAAUAUGUAACAAUAUACGGCCUUAUACGUCGUAUAAUUGGAAUGAUUACAAUUUAAAUCCCUUAACGAGGAACAAUUGGAGGGCAAGUCUGGUG
This 528-nucleotide ribosomal RNA is filed under the name Pezizomycotina sp. Its description in RNAcentral is "SSU rRNA". It matches the Rfam family "Eukaryotic small subunit ribosomal RNA", at positions 34 to 566 of the family's 1831-position model. The record is from RNAcentral. Lineage: Eukaryota; Fungi; Ascomycota.